UUUCCGUAGGUGAACCUGCGGAAGGAUCAUUAUUGAAUAACAAAGGUGUAAUGACUGUUGCUGAUCCGGGAGGUAGAAGGAGCCCGUAAGAAAAAAAACAAAUACAUAUAACCCCUAUGUGCGCCACCGCGUGGGUCUCCCUUUGGCUUGUUCGGAGGGGGGCUUACGUUUUCACUCAAUCUUUGUAUGCAGUGUUGAAUGUAUUUUUUGUUUUUGCGAUCACGCAAUCUAUACAACUUUCAACAACGGUUCUCUUGGUUUUCGUAUCGAUGAAGAACG
Molecule: unclassified non-coding RNA, 279 nt
Filed under: plant metagenome
Description: partial contains small subunit ribosomal RNA, internal transcribed spacer 1, and 5.8S ribosomal RNA
Source: RNAcentral